RNAcentral lists this ribosomal RNA (253 nucleotides) under uncultured bacterium. RNAcentral describes it as "partial 16S ribosomal RNA". It matches the Rfam family "Bacterial small subunit ribosomal RNA", at positions 524 to 776 of the family's 1533-position model. The record is from RNAcentral.
UACGGAGGGUGCAAGCGUUAUCCGGAUUCACUGGGUUUAAAGGGUGCGUAGGCGGACAGGUAAGUCCGUGGUGAAAUCUCUGAGCUUAACUCAGAAACUGCCAUGGAUACUAUUUGUCUUGAAUACUGUGGAGGUAAGCGGAAUAUGUCAUGUAGCGGUGAAAUGCUUAGAUAUGACAUGGAACACCAAUUGCGAAGGCAGCUUACUACACAAAUAUUGACGCUGAGGCGCGAAAGCGUGGGGAUCAAACAGG